Long non-coding RNA from Canis lupus familiaris (dog), 571 nucleotides. RefSeq lists it as uncharacterized. The record is from RefSeq and is a predicted model, not a curated record. The transcript has 3 exons. Lineage: Eukaryota; Metazoa; Chordata; Mammalia; Carnivora; Canidae.
GCCGGCAGGACCCACGCGGGGCCCGCGCCACUCCUCCCGCUCCGCCCCCGGCUCCUCCCUUCUCGGCGGAAGGCCAGGGACGUGCGGGACCGAUCCGGAAAGCUGAGACCCGGCACGCACACGCACACGCACACGCACACACCUGGCGGUGGAGGUGAAGACCUCGAGUCCCUAGUAUACUCCAAGUGUGGCCCUCGAGUCAGCAGAUCGGCAUCACCUGGGAGCGUGUUAAAAACGCAGCAGCUCAGACUUCGCCCCAAACCUAUCGAAUCAAAAUCAGCAUAUUUAGCAAGACCCCCAGGCUGAGGGCUUUGAGUACAUCACGUCUCAAGCGUCGAAUCGGUGGAAGGCCUCAUAGAGAAACUUGCUUGGCCUUCGUUGUCGUGUUGCUUUUCUUGGAGUAUACAGAAGUAAAAAUGCAAAGAACCACACCAGGUUAAGGCAUUACUGAGGGUCUCCUCUGUGUCCUGGACUCUGGAAAUAAAUGGGUAAACCAAGCUGACACGGUCCUAGACCUCUUGGAGCUUGCAGUCCACUGGGCAAGACAGAAAAUGAACAAUUACACAAACAA